CCGGAAUCACUGGGCGUAAAGGGUGUGUAGGUGGUCUGAUGUGUCAGAUGUGAAAUCUGGCUGCUUAACGGCCAAACUGCAUCUGAAACUAUUGGGCUUGAGGACGUGAGGGGAGAGUAGAACUCGCGGUGUAGCGGUAGAAUGCGUGGAUAUCGCGAGGAAUGCCGAUGGCGAAGGCAGCUCUCUGGUGCGUUCUCCGUAUGGGGAAUCGGUUAACCCGGUCUUCGGAUCAAGUUGACUGAUCCUGACACUGAAACACGAAAGUUGGGGGAGCAAACGGGAUUAGAUACCCCGGUAGUCCCAACCCUAAACGAUGUGCACUUGGCAUAUGCCAUUUGGUAUGUGCCGGAGGUAACCUGUUAAGUGCACCGCCUGGGAACUACGGCCGCAAGGUUGAAACUCAAAGGAAUUGACGGGGACCCGCACAAGCGGUGGAGUAUGUGGUUUAAUUCGAGGCAACGCGAAGAACCUUACCUGGGCUUGACAUGCUGGUAGUACUGCGCCGAAAGGCAAGGGAUCCCACUUCGGUGGGAAGCCAGCACAGGUGCUGCAUGGCUGUCGUCAGCUCGUGCCGUGAGGUGUUAGGUUAAGUCCUGCAACGAGCGCAACCCCUGCCCUUAGUUGCCAACUUGUCGGAAGAUGAGGGCACUCUAAGGGGACUGCCGCAGAUCAUGUGGAGGAAGGUGGGGAUGAGGUCAAGUCAUCAUGGCCUUUAUACCCAGGGCCACACACGUACUACAGUGCCUAUUACAAUGGGGAGCGAGACCGUAAGGUGGAGCAAAUCCCAUCAAAGAUAGGCAUGGUUCGGAUUGAGGGCUGCAAUUCGCCCUCAUGAAGGCGGAAUCGCUAGUAAUCGCAGAUCAGAAUGCUGCGGUGAAUACGUUCUCGGGUCUUGUACACACCGCCC
This 907-nucleotide ribosomal RNA is filed under the name uncultured bacterium. Its description in RNAcentral is "bacterial SSU rRNA". It matches the Rfam family "Bacterial small subunit ribosomal RNA", at positions 545 to 1395 of the family's 1533-position model. The record is from RNAcentral.